GAUGAACGCUGGCGGCGUGCCUAAUACAUGCAAGUCGAGCGAACAGACGAGGAUCUUGCUCCUCUUACGUUAGCGGCGGACGGGUGAGUAACACGUGGAUAACCUACCUAUAAGACUGGGAUAACUUCGGGAAACCGGAGCUAAUACCGGAUAAUAUAUUGAACCGCAUGGUUCAAUAGUGAAAGACGGUUUUGCUGUCACUUCUAGAUGGAUCCGCGCCGCAUUAGCUAGUUGGUAAGGUAACGGCUUACCAAGGCAACGAUGCGUAGCCGACCUGAGAGGGUGAUCGGCCACACUGGAACGGAGACACGGUCCAGACGCCUACGGGAGGCAGCAGUAGGGAAUCUUCCGCAAUGGGCGAAAGCCUGACGGAGCAACGCCGCGUGAGUGAUGAAGGUCUUCGGAUCGUAAAACUCUGUUAUUAGGGAAGAACAAAUGUGUAAGUAACUAUGCACGUCUUGACGGUACCUAAUCAGAAAGCCACGGCUAACUACGUG
This 497-nucleotide ribosomal RNA is filed under the name uncultured bacterium. RNAcentral describes it as "partial 16S ribosomal RNA". It matches the Rfam family "Bacterial small subunit ribosomal RNA", at positions 28 to 507 of the family's 1533-position model. The record is from RNAcentral.